RNAcentral lists this non-coding RNA (1502 nucleotides) under Pongo abelii (Sumatran orangutan). The record is from RNAcentral. Lineage: Eukaryota; Metazoa; Chordata; Mammalia; Primates; Hominidae.
AGGAUUUUUUCCCAAGCCGGGAGAGCUGGCAGAUCAGAGAGGGACUUUCCAGACAAAUCCCAUCUGGGGAAACGUACUAUCUUCCAGAAGCAAUUUUUGUAAAAAUGCAAAUGCUCUUUUAUAGAGCUCGGCCUUCCCUCCUUUAAGAAAGGGCUUGCCGAUUCAAACCUGCCCGACUCUUAGCUGGAUUAAGUUGGGCAAGGGAGAUUUGCCGUCAGUCUGCAACCUGGUGGCAGAUUGAGAUGGAACCAAGAUUUACCCUGGAAGUAGGAUAUUAGUCAAUGGCUGUCACUGGGUACAAUGUCCAGAACGAUGCAAACAGACACGGAUGGUUGAUUCUUCUUCAAGGAAAUGGCUGGCCACGCCCUUGAUUUGGGAGAAACUAAACUGGCCUUCUCGUUCCCAAUCCCAGAACCUCCACCCCUUUCGAAUUCUUCCCAACCGGCUGACCCUGCCCGGCGCCCAGGAGCGGCCUGGGUAUCUCCUGGCUGCUCUCCCGAAUCCUUGCGCGCCGCGCCCCUACCAGGUUCACUGGGUGCACGUAGCCGUUCUCAUAGCGGUCCUCCUGCAACAGCUGCCGCAGUCUCGCUGUCUCCGCCUUCCGCUCCCUGGCGGAGGCGGAGGCCAGAGAGCGCUCCGAGGAAGACUAAAAACCCAGGCCAGGAAGCGCGGGGUGAGAAAGUGAGGUGGGCGGCGAGAGCGUGAGCGCCCCUUCGCUGACCCUGGGGAGCGUGGACUAUAAGUUGGCGCCCAAGUCCAGAAUCCGCGCGCACCGCCGAAAAUAUUUGCAGUACCUGCCACAUCCAAGGUUCAGUUGAGGCCAAUGUAAAGCCAGUAUUCUAGGACACUUCUCAGACUGAGAGCCCAAUGUCAUUGGGGACAACUGGGCCACAGGAAAUGCAGGCUCUCUCGGUCCUGCUCCUGCCAUGGAAGAAGCCCGCUCCCACCAUGCCUUCCGCCACAAGUAAAAGUUCCCUGAGGCCUCUCCAGAAGCAGACCCUGUCGUGCUUCCCGUAUAGCUGCAGAACUACUUCAAAUCCUCCCAACACCAGAGAACACUACAUGACAGUGGACAGGAAGACAGUGUACCUUUUGCUCCUGAUGAUCGUAAGAACCACCUCCUUCCUCUUAUUGUGAAGUGCAAGGUGCAAAAAGGAGGCCUGCUGCUUGUUCAGGACUAUGUCAGCAUUGUGGCUCAGAAGAAGCGCAACGGCUUUGGCGUGGCCUUCCCUCGCAGCAAAGUGAAGUGCAGUGUUCUUUUGAAGAAAAACAGACACAGAAAAUGUGGUGACAGUGUCUAAUCUGUCUUAUUUCACUGCUUAACUGCUUAAAAGACAUUAGCAACACUAUUUAAUACCAAAAUACAUAGCAUUUAAAACAGGUGUUCAGAAUCAAGCUUCAAAAUAAUGAGUUUAUAGUUCAAGCAUGCUGUGUGUGCAUGUGUGGGAAGUGGAUCUGUGUGUGUGUGUGUGUGUGUGAUAGAUAGAGAGAGAGAGAGAAUG